AACGAACGCUGGCGGCAUGCCUAACACAUGCAAGUCGAACGAGACCUUCGGGUCUAGUGGCGCACGGGUGCGUAACGCGUGGGAACCUGCCUUUAGGUUCGGAAUAACUCAGAGAAAUUUGAGCUAAUACCGGAUAAUGUCUUCGGACCAAAGAUUUAUCGCCUUUAGAUGGGCCCGCGUUGGAUUAGCUAGUUGGUGGGGUAAAGGCCUACCAAGGCGACGAUCCAUGGCUGGUCUGAGAGGAUGAUCAGCCACACUGGGACUGAGACACGGCCCAGACUCCUACGGGAGGCAGCAGUGGGGAAUAUUGGACAAUGGGCGAAAGCCUGAUCCAGCAAUGCCGCGUGAGUGAUGAAGGCCUUAGGGUUGUAAAGCUCUUUUACCCGAGAUGAUAAUGACAGUAUCGGGAGAAUAAGCUCCGGCUAACUCCGUGCCAGCAGCCGCGGU
Molecule: ribosomal RNA, 447 nt
Filed under: uncultured bacterium
Lineage: Bacteria
Description: bacterial SSU rRNA
Rfam family: Bacterial small subunit ribosomal RNA
Source: RNAcentral